Molecule: ribosomal RNA, 854 nt
Filed under: Torula sp.
Lineage: Eukaryota; Fungi; Ascomycota; Dothideomycetes; Pleosporales; Torulaceae
Description: partial large subunit ribosomal RNA
Rfam family: Eukaryotic large subunit ribosomal RNA
Source: RNAcentral
AUAACGGAGGAAAAGAAACCAACAGGGAUUGCCCUAGUAACGGCGAGUGAAGCGGCAACAGCUCAAAUUUGAAAUCUGGCUCCUUUGGGGUCCGAGUUGUAAUUUGCAGAGGGAGCUUUUGGCGUCGGUCGUGGUCUAAGUUCCUUGGAACAGGACGUCACAGAGGGUGAGAAUCCCGUACGUGGCCGCCGGCCUUCGCCUUGUAAAGCCCCUUCGACGAGUCGAGUUGUUUGGGAAUGCAGCUCUAAAUGGGAGGUAAAUUUCUUCUAAAGCUAAAUACCCGCCAGAGACCGAUAGCGCACAAGUAGAGUGAUCGAAAGAUGAAAAGCACUUUGGAAAGAGAGUGAAAAAGCACGUGAAAUUGUUGAAAGGGAAGCGCUUGCGGCCAGACGUGCCCGCGGUUGAUCAUCCAGGCUCCAGCCUGGUGCACUCCUCCGCGGGCAGGCCAGCAUCAGUUCGGGCGGUCGGAUAAAGGCCUCUAUCACGUACCACCCCUCGGGGUGGCCUUAUAGGGGAGGCGCAACACGGCCAGCCCGGACUGAGGUUCCGCGCAUCUGCUAGGAUGCUGGCGUAAUGGCAGCAAGCGGCCCGUCUUGAAACACGGACCAAGGAGUCUAACAUCUAUGCGAGUGUUUGGGUGUCAAGCCCGAGCGCGCAAUGAAAGUGAACGGAGGUGGGAACCCUUACCGGUGCACCAUCGACCGAUCCUGAUGUCUUCGGAUGGAUUUGAGUAAGAGCAUAGCUGUUGGGACCCGAAAGAUGGUGAACUAUGCCUGAAUAGGGUGAAGCCAGAGGAAACUCUGGUGGAGGCUCGCAGCGGUUCUGACGUGCAAAUCGAUCGUCAAAUUUGGGCA